Molecule: long non-coding RNA, 1632 nt
Organism: Aquila chrysaetos chrysaetos
Lineage: Eukaryota; Metazoa; Chordata; Aves; Accipitriformes; Accipitridae
Exons: 3
Source: RefSeq, a predicted model, not a curated record
GGUUUCACAUGGCAUUACGGGGAACGCAGGGCACGGCACGCACAUGGGUUUUAUUUGUCCUCCUCCCCCAGCUUCUGCUUUUCACGUAAACGUUGAUCAGAAGUAAGCAGGACACGGAAGAAUAGGUGGGUCGCGACAACCUACUCGCACGACUUAGAUACCUGAAAGAAAACAGGACGUUUGCCCCAAACGCUCCCAUGCGGCACCAAGGGGAGCACAGCCCCCCCCCGGGAAGUUCUCCCGGGAAGGCGAUCCCAAAUGCCGAGUCCGUCGCGCUACUCAGAGAAGAGCGAUUUUCGCUCAGCUUUCACCUCCGUGACGACAUUCCUGCUGCUGUUUCUCCUCCUGCUCACGGCUGCCUUCAGUCCGUCCGUGCUUUGGCAUCCCAGCGCAGGGACGCGCGCGUGCACCGCUUUGGUGCUCUGCGUUGUGCCAGCUCACCAUUACGGAUAAAAUUACCAACAUCAUUAAAGGCUUUCAGUGAUUAUCUGUGAAGUUCUGCCUCUUGCUGCCAGCUAGUUCAGGAAAUUCAGUAAAUCUCAUGAAUCAAGCUACACGAUGAUUUACUAACACUGUUACCCGGCGGCCGGCGGUAAACGUACCAGCUCGCUCUGCAAUGGGAUUUGGCCAGAGCUGUAAAUUUCUGCUGGGAUGUGGGAGCAUUUCUGGCUUUGCCUGGUAGGAGAUAGUAACUAUCCACAUGGAGAUUAAUUGGGGGGGGGGGGGGGGGGGGGGGGGAGGGAGCAAGAAGAUAAGCAUGAUUGUUUAGAAAAUGACCAUUUCUUAAUUUACAUUACCUCGGAUGACAAUUGUGCUAGAGGCACAGCUUAUGAAGCUGCCACAGAAGCAACGCGUUGGGAGUCAUGUGCUGCAACACACGCAAUCCUGCAGUCGAAACCCAAGGAAGCGACACAGCGGAUCACCAGCCGUGCCAAGCGUUCGUCCCUCCCUGGGACUCGUGUUGCGGACCCCCGAAGGGGUCCUGGGUGCGUGGGGCUGAGCACCGCAAAUCAGAAAUCGCCCACCGUUAUCCUCAGCUCCCUUUCAAACCCAGCAGAAAACGUGGCGCUUAAGCAUCCCAGACACAACAGUUGUGUGGCAUAGGGAAGUGUUACUUGCUUUAUAUUGCAUAUGGGAAAGGGAACGUGACACAGCUUUACAAAUAAACCUGAGUGUUGCUGUUAAUUACCUACGACGACAAACUUACUCCAAUAUGAGGAGUCCCAGCAUUUUCCCAGUGAGUAACUCCCACUGUGGAAGCACUCGGGAGCCUUAGUUUUCUCAAUCAAGGGGAAAUCAACUCAGCAUUUUUAAGUCCCUCUGGAUGAAGGGAGACGUUCAGGGACUGGGAGCCGCUGCUAGCCACACAUACCUGGGAAAGGUUAGGAUAAUUGCAGGGCAAACUGGCUUCUUUGGCUUACAUUUAGGCAAGAAGCCAAAGGCAGCUCUAAAUCGUGCUAUAAGGCAUAUUCAGUUCAAAACCAGACUUGCAAAAUUUUUAAUGAAACUAACCAUCCAUACAAUUGGUGACUGUUUAACAUCAAUGCAGUAGUGCAAAGGAAAGGAAUUCUUUUAAGAGAAUGAGAUGAUUUUUGAGCAAUUUGUUGUCGUCUGUAACUGGGAUGUCGACAU